Molecule: ribosomal RNA, 253 nt
Filed under: uncultured bacterium
Lineage: Bacteria
Description: partial 16S ribosomal RNA
Rfam family: Bacterial small subunit ribosomal RNA
Source: RNAcentral
UACAGAGGUCCCAAGCGUUGUUCGGAUUCACUGGGCGCAAAGGGUGCGCAGGUGGUCGGGUAAGUCUGACGUGAAAUCCCGCAGCUUAACUGCGGAAUGGCAUUGGAUACUAUUCGGCUAGAGGGUUGGAGGGGGGACUGGAAUUCUCGGUGUAGCAGUGAAAUGCGUAGAUAUCGAGAGGAACACCAGUGGCGAAGGCGAGUCCCUGGACAACUCCUGACGCUGAGGCACGAAAGCUAGGGGAGCAAACAGG